AUAAAUAAAAUGUGCAGAAUCCAGUUCUAAUUUAUUCUUAAAAGUAUGGUGUAGUGAAGGGUCUGAAAAUGGAUGCCAAUGUGCCCUUGUAUAGACCCUUUUCAUUGGCUA
This is a long non-coding RNA of Dipodomys spectabilis (banner-tailed kangaroo rat), 111 nucleotides long. RefSeq lists it as uncharacterized. The transcript has 3 exons. The record is from RefSeq and is a predicted model, not a curated record. Lineage: Eukaryota; Metazoa; Chordata; Mammalia; Rodentia; Heteromyidae.